Non-coding RNA from Borealophlyctis nickersoniae, 95 nucleotides. The record is from the annotation of a GenBank genome assembly. NCBI's taxonomy places the organism in Eukaryota, Fungi, Chytridiomycota, Chytridiomycetes, Rhizophlyctidales, Borealophlyctidaceae.
GCUCUUGUGGCGCAAUUGGCUAGCGCGUUCGGCUGUUAGGGAGAUGACGCUCCAAAGCAACCGGAAGGUUGGUGGUUCAAGCCCACCCAGGAGCG